Turneriella parva DSM 21527 is the source of this 74-nucleotide transfer RNA. It matches the Rfam family "tRNA". From Rfam's summary of the family: Transfer RNA (tRNA) molecules are approximately 80 nucleotides in length. Their secondary structure includes four short double-helical elements and three loops (D, anti-codon, and T loops). NCBI's taxonomy places the organism in Bacteria, Pseudomonadati, Spirochaetota, Leptospiria, Leptospirales, Leptospiraceae. The record is from Rfam.
GCGGCUGUAGCUCAUCUGGAUAGAGUAUUUGGCUUCGAACCAAAGGGUAGCAGGUUCGACUCCUGCCAGCCGCA